UUCGCUUGUUGUGGUAGAAUUUCAAGCAUCCUUUUUUUGGGUUUGGAUUUUGAUGGUAAUGUGCUGUGCGUAAUUAUUUGAUAAUUCUAGACAUGGAUUUUUCUUUUGAGGGAAGUGCACUUGAUCCAUCAAAAUGUAGCAAGCUAAGCAUGGAUGAGAAGAGAGAACUUGUCUAUCAAUUAUCAAAAUGUGCAGGUGCCUGUGAAAUGCUACAGUCAUGGAGCCGUCAGGA
RNAcentral lists this unclassified non-coding RNA (232 nucleotides) under Hevea brasiliensis (rubber tree). The record is from RNAcentral. Lineage: Eukaryota; Viridiplantae; Streptophyta; Magnoliopsida; Malpighiales; Euphorbiaceae.